Molecule: ribosomal RNA, 940 nt
Filed under: uncultured Verrucomicrobiota bacterium
Lineage: Bacteria; Pseudomonadati; Verrucomicrobiota
Description: bacterial SSU rRNA
Rfam family: Bacterial small subunit ribosomal RNA
Source: RNAcentral
GAGUUUGAUCCUGGCUCAGAACGAACGCUGGCGGCGUGGAUAAGACAUGCAAGUCGAACGGGAUUUUAUUUGUAGCAAUACACGUAAAGUCUAGUGGCGUAAGGGUGCGUAACACGUGGGGAAUCUGCCGAGAAGUGGGGGAUAGCUCGUCGAAAGGCGAAUUAAUACCGCAUGUGGUUAGUGAAGACAUCUUCACGAUACCAAAGCCGGGGUAACCUGGCGCUUCUUGAUGACCCCGCGGCCUAUCAGCUAGUUGGUGAGGUAACGGCUCACCAAGGCUAUGACGGGUAGCUGGUCUGAGAGGACGACCAGCCACACUGGAACUGAGACACGGUCCAGACACCUACGGGUGGCAGCAGUCGAGAAUUUUUCUCAAUGGGGGAAACCCUGAAGGAGCGACGCCGCGUGGAGGAUGAAGGUCUUCGGAUUGUAAACUCCUGUCAUUUGGGAACAAGUUGCAUCGGUUAACUGCCGAUGCAUUGAUAGUACCAGAAGAGGAAGAGACGGCUAACUCUGUGCCAGCAGCCGCGGUAAUACAGAGGUCUCAAGCGUUGUUCGGAUUCAUUGGGCGUAAAGGGUGCGUAGGUGGCGGGGUAAGUCUGGUGUGAAAUCUCGGGGCUCAACCCCGAAACUGCACUGGAUACUGCCUUGCUCGAGUACUGGAGAGGAGAUUGGAAUUUACGGUGUAGCAGUGAAAUGCGUAGAUAUCGUAAGGAAGACCAGUGGCGAAGGCGAAUCUCUGGACAGUUACUGACACUGAGGCACGAAGGCCAGGGGAGCAAACGGGAUUAGAUACCCCGGUAGUCCUGGCAGUAAACGGUGCGCGUUUGGUGUGGGAGGAUUCGACCCCUUCUGUGCCGGAGCUAACGCGUUAAACGCGCCGCCUGGGGAGUACGGUCGCAAGAUUAAAACUCAAAGAAAUUGACGGGGGCCCGCACAA